RNAcentral lists this long non-coding RNA (922 nucleotides) under Helianthus annuus (common sunflower). The record is from RNAcentral. Lineage: Eukaryota; Viridiplantae; Streptophyta; Magnoliopsida; Asterales; Asteraceae.
CCAUAUCAAAAAUCAAGAAAUCAAGAUUUGUGGUCUUCAGACGGGCCGCGUAAAGAUUCAGCAUAGUCUUACGCGGGCCACGUCAAUGUGGAGUUGACCGGAUAAGCGUCUAGAUCCACGUGUAACCCACGUGGCACACCUACUCAUGACCCAGCAAGCCUACACGUAGACUAGACCUCCUCGCGGGCCGCGUAAGGUUGGUCUUAGGGUUCACGCGAGCCGCGACAACCCCAGAAAUCAGCUAUAAAUAGUUUGGUCAUGAGCAGUUCGUCUGUGUUCGACAAAUUCUCUCAAAAUAAAGAUUUACUGCAUAAAAUCAUAUUUUCCAUUAAGGAGGCGCUGCCACGAUACAGGAUGAUGAGCUGAACAGAGAAAAAGCCAGGAUUUGAUUUCAAAGGCGAUAACUAAUUCCAGACAGAAAAUCUCGGCUUGAUGAAAGGGGGAGUCUGACGAGAUUAGAGCUUGAGAAAGAUCCAGGUACAUUAUUCCAGGAGAAUUCCUGAAGAAGGCCGAUCAAGAUUGAAGAGUCGUCAUGUUGAAGACUCUCACUGAAGAUUCUGUCAACAUUCAAGGGGGAGUCUGUUGGUGCAGUUGUCUGUCGACUUCAUCUUCGUUCGAGUCUUGUUCUAGAUAAGAUAAAUCAUGACACGGAAAAUGAGGAAAUAUGUGUUUAUGGGUAAUUCCGCUUGAAAUGACACAUGGUCAUUUCAAGCGAAAUCAAGUUGGUAUUUCCGCUUGAGUGGUGAUUUCACUUGAACAAGUGAUUCCGCUUGAGCAUGUUCAAGCGAAAUCACAUGCCUAUAAAUACCUCCUCAAGCGAAAUUAGUGUUAAUCUUCUUGUUUCCGAUGCCGAAGUGCUGUCGAAGUGUCUCCAAGUCUGUAAACGUGUUCUAAUCAAUACAAGAGACAGUUAAUAGUGAUU